RNAcentral lists this ribosomal RNA (468 nucleotides) under uncultured bacterium. Its description in RNAcentral is "partial 16S ribosomal RNA". It matches the Rfam family "Bacterial small subunit ribosomal RNA", at positions 28 to 507 of the family's 1533-position model. The record is from RNAcentral.
GACGAACGCUGGCGGCGUGCUUAACACAUGCAAGUCGAGCGGAAAGGCCCUGCUUUUGUGGGGUGCUCGAGUGGCGAACGGGUGAGUAACUCGUGAGUAACCUGCCCUUGACUUUGGGAUAACUUCAGGAAACUGGGGCUAAUACCGGAUAGGAGCUCCUGCUGCAUGGUGGGGGUUGGAAAGUUUCGGCGGUUGGGGAUGGACUCGCGGCUUAUCAGCUUGUUGGUGGGGUAGUGGCUUACCAAGGCUUUGACGGGUAGCCGGCCUGAGAGGGUGACCGGCCACAUUGGGACUGAGAUACGGCCCAGACUCCUACGGGAGGCAGCAGUGGGGAAUAUUGCACAAUGGGCGGAAGCCUGAUGCAGCAACGCCGCGUGCGGGAUGACGGCCUUCGGGUUGUAAACCGCUUUCGCCUGUGACGAAGCGUGAGUGACGGUAAUGGGUAAAGAAGCACCGGCUAACUACGUG